GAGUAGUUCCGGGCCACAGACUAAGAGCCUGUGCCAGCAAAGGAGCUGGGAGUGCGGACAUACAUGUCAACUACCUGGAAAUUAUCAAUGACUGCACGUGCCCAGCUCUUCUGGACCCUCUGAUGUUCUGUCACAUGGGAGCAAAUGGAGAGCUGGGACAUCCUUUGACCUCAGCCCUCAAAGGAUAAUUAACUUCUUGCUCAAUCCCUCAGCAUUUGACCAAAAUACCAAGAUAAAAAUGUAGGCCCGUGUUAGUACAAAAGGUCCUGCAUUCAACUGUCCUCCUUAUAUUGCCCAAGAAGUCUUGUGGAAUUCCAAGAAGAAUUCAAGGGGCCAGACCUGGAAUAUGCAUCAAUGAGAAUAAGACACUGACGAAGCUAACGACACUAACGGGGAAUGAGGAUAAUCGACUCCUGUCCUUUGUUUUACUCUUUAACCUAGUAAUAAAUCCCUUUAAAGGCC
This 462-nucleotide long non-coding RNA is filed under the name Mus musculus (house mouse). Its description in RNAcentral is "predicted gene, 36199". Lineage: Eukaryota; Metazoa; Chordata; Mammalia; Rodentia; Muridae. The record is from RNAcentral.